GCCGUGGUGGUGGAACUGGUAGACACGCUAGCUUGAGGGGCUAGUGCUCGAAAGGGCAUGGGGGUUCGAGUCCCCCCUACGGCACCA
This 87-nucleotide transfer RNA is filed under the name Desulfovibrio sp. OttesenSCG-928-I05. RNAcentral's name for it is "tRNA-Leu". It matches the Rfam family "tRNA". Rfam says of the family: Transfer RNA (tRNA) molecules are approximately 80 nucleotides in length. Their secondary structure includes four short double-helical elements and three loops (D, anti-codon, and T loops). Lineage: Bacteria; Pseudomonadati; Thermodesulfobacteriota; Desulfovibrionia; Desulfovibrionales; Desulfovibrionaceae. The record is from RNAcentral.